This 21-nucleotide microRNA is filed under the name Hordeum vulgare. RNAcentral's name for it is "hvu-miR5050". Lineage: Eukaryota; Viridiplantae; Streptophyta; Magnoliopsida; Poales; Poaceae. The record is from miRBase by way of RNAcentral.
UUGAGGUCGUUCAACCAGCAA